GAGGCAGCAGUAGAGAAUCUUGUGCAAUAAACGAAAGUAUGACACAGAGAGGACACAUUUAAUUGAGCCCGUCAAAUUAAGUGCCAGCCGACGCGGUUAAACUUAAGGGCUGGUCUUUAUAAGUAAAAAGGCGUAAAGGAUGUGUAGGCCAAGAAACGAUCCAAGUAGGUAAAUGGAAUUUUUCUGGAGCGGUAGAAUGUGAGGAUAGAAAAUAGAACCCCUAAGGUAAAAACUAUUUACUACAAGGUAGGCUGAAACAUGAGAGUGUGGGGAGCAAACAGGAUUAGAGACCCUGGUAGUCCACACUGUGAACUUUGAAGAUGAUGCUUAGCAGACCCGAAAGGUAAAAUCUUCCGCCUGAGUAGUACGAUCGCAAGAUUAAAAUUCAAAAACUUUGGCUGUUCACUAUUUCGAUUAGAGGAGCGUGUAGUUUAAUUCGAUGGUCCGCGUGUUACCUUACCCCAACUUGAAUCUGUGACCGGUAUUGCAUGGCCGUCGUAAGUUCGUGUAUUAAGCUAGAAGGGACCCAACCCGGGCAUUUGCCCGGAGGAAGUCAGGUCUUAUGAUCCGAAUGUUGGGGGAUUUUAUGCGCUACAUUUUCUUAUAUAAUGAGAAACCUGGAAGGUGAGUCUCUAAAGUAAGAGUUCGGAAGGUCGCUGUAAGACGACUGGAAGUUGGAUUUAAUAGUAAUCGGAAAGUAGGGCGUUCCGGUGAAUUGGUACAAGUGUUAGCACAAAUUGCCCGUCACCUUUACUUAGAAUGGUUAUUCGGAUGUCUUCGGUGAUUA
RNAcentral lists this ribosomal RNA (787 nucleotides) under Actinia fragacea. Its description in RNAcentral is "partial 12S ribosomal RNA". It matches the Rfam family "Bacterial small subunit ribosomal RNA", at positions 345 to 1439 of the family's 1533-position model. Lineage: Eukaryota; Metazoa; Cnidaria; Anthozoa; Actiniaria; Actiniidae. The record is from RNAcentral.